This 509-nucleotide long non-coding RNA is filed under the name Phoenix dactylifera (date palm). RNAcentral's name for it is "long non-coding RNA (PDAC_LNC022812)". Lineage: Eukaryota; Viridiplantae; Streptophyta; Magnoliopsida; Arecales; Arecaceae. The record is from RNAcentral.
AAGAAGUCUGCUGAACCAAAGUCUGAGUCUCGAGUCGACUCCCGAGUAUCACGAGUCGACUCCAAGCAUAUCAAGUUCACUGGCACGACCUCGAGUCGACUCCAGACUAGUACGAGUCGACUCCGACUGAGAACAGAAAGAAGAAUAGAAAGCCUCAUCUCAGAACCUGUCAACGAGUCGACUCCUGAAGUGCGCGAGUCGACUCCAAUGUUCAACGAGUCGACUCCAGGAUAGUAAGAGUCGACUCCAAGAGGUACACAAAGAAAAGGUCAGAGAACAUUUUAUGGACUCUGAGAUUCGAGUCGACUCCCGCAAUACGCGAGUCGACUCCGAGACUGUGCGACCAUCGACAGACAGAAAACCAUGUUACUGCCUCUGAGAUUCGAGUCGACUCCCAGACAGCUCGAGUCGACUCCAAGACAAGCUUCACGUCAAAAGGCAGAAGACCAACUUUCGGAAACUGAGAGCCGAGUCGACUCCAAGGAAGUUCGAGUCGACUCUAAGACUGG